Emys orbicularis (European pond turtle) is the source of this 548-nucleotide long non-coding RNA. RefSeq lists it as uncharacterized. The transcript is spliced from 2 exons. NCBI's taxonomy places the organism in Eukaryota, Metazoa, Chordata, Testudines, Emydidae. The record is from RefSeq and is a predicted model, not a curated record.
UUGCCCCCUCGCUCUGCCCCUUGCCCGCCUGCCAGGGAAGAGCUGGGAGCAGAUCCCCAAAGCAGGGCCGUGCAGGCUGCGGUUAGCAGGGCAUGUGCUCAGACCCAGGGGCUCUGAUCUCCUCUGGGAGUGAGUUCUGGAGUCCAGCCCAAUGUCGUCGUCCCAGUGCCAUGUGGCUGCAGCAGGAGUUCACAGGGAGACUCGUCUCAGGUGCUGGAUAGCUUGUGUUUGGGACAAAGAAAACAGAGACCACAUGGCAAGAGGCUAUAAAAGGCGGCUGCAUCUCCUCCAUCUUGUCUUCAAUCCUGCUUCAUACCUCUGGAGGAACCUUGCUACAAACGGAAGCUCUGAACAAAGGACUGAAUGACCCAUCCCAGCUGGGGAUGUUCCAGAGACUUGAUUUGAACCUGCAGUUUAUUCUAUCACUGCUACAAGCCUGAACCAAGAACUUGGCCAUUACUGUAUGUAAUUGAUUCCAUUUCACCAAUUCUAGCUCUCAUCUAUAUUUCUUUCUUUUAUGAAUAAACCUUUAGAUUUUAGAUUUUAAA